CUACGCGCAUUAGCAUCCGUAUCGACUCCAGCCGCCUGUGCACGGUUAUCAGUGCCCACACCACGAACACCACCACCACCACCAUUCCUUUCCUUCCUUCCUUCCUUCCUUCCUUCCACGCGCACAUACAGAAAAGCGCGCACACGUCUAUACAUGCGUGUGUGUGUGUGUGUGUGUGUGUGUGUGUGAACGCGCGCAAGCAUCGGCCCCUUCUUCUCGGAUCCCUGUGACGCCGUCAUGAGCAGUGCCUCGAAGUCGGCGGGAGCCGCUCUGUCCUGGUCUUCUUCUUCGCCGGCGCCGUCUGCUGCUCCCACCGCAGUCGCAGUCCCAACCGGCACGCCAGCGGAGCCGGCCACCGCCACCGCCGCGACGGACAAGGACGGCGCCGAGGCGGAGCCGCGGCGGCGUGGCUGGAAGCCCAUCAAAGAUGGGCGCUUCCGCAUCGCCCUCACCCAUCACCACGCCAGCAGUGACGAUGACACCGGAGCGGCGCUAUCGUCUUUCACGAACGCCGCCCCGGAGGAUCUCAGCGGCGCCGCCGCGGCGUCGUCGCUCUGCGAAAAGGUCUGCCGCACCCUCUCGGACAACGCACGGUGCAAUGAAUGCCGCCCCGGCGAGCCGCACAUCGAGGUCUGUGUUGAAGCAUCGCUGGUGAACGCAAUCAACAGUGCGUACACCUCCACAGGAUACCCUUUCGUCGUCACCGCCGGCAGCACACGCGGCGCCGUCUACGGCUCCUUCAUCGACCUCAGCAACCCGUCCCUCAGCUCCCUCGAGCUGCCGCCGCCGCAGUCUAUCGUUGUGGCCCCGAGCUACGUUGGCGACGCUGAUCGUACGCCGGCGCGCGGCCUGACGGAGAUGGACACAUUGCUGGCGAUCCGCUGGAGCCGCGGCGACCGCAUCAUGAAGACUGCCGAGGCGGCCCCCACCGUCGCCGUCGCCGCCGCCGCGCAGGCGAAGCAGACCCCACCCACGAUAGCUGCCGGAGCCGCCGGCAGUCCGUACACGUCAGUCGUCGCACGCACCAUUGCGCACCACCUCUCUCAGUUUCCGGAGGGCAUCCACGCCAUCCACUCGUCUCCGGCGCUGCGGCAGCUCCUGGUAGAGGGCACGCUGCCGACAACGCUGGCAAGCACGCCUUCGGCGCCGGUGAACGCGGCAGCGCACGCGCCGGCCUCGGCGAGCGGCGGCGCUGGUAGCCGCAGCGCUGCGGCAGCAGCGCCAUCCACCACCACCUCCACGGCGCCGGAGUUGUCGAACGCAGAGGCGAAUGUGCCACCGCUGCCGACGCCGCCGCAGAGCAACGCCCCUGUUCAGCACACGCUCGUCAGCGCGAGCACCUUCAACCACAUCUCCGUCUACUUCGUUGCCCACCAGGACGGGAAGCUACUCUACACGGCGCCGAUACAGAGCCUCUCCGCCAGUAUUGCGACGCGCAAGGUGACGGCACACCAACUCAUUCUGGUAGGGCGGGAGGAAGUGGAUGCGCUCGUGGAGGACCCCUUCACACCGUUCCCGACGAUGCCUCCACGGCGUACCCGCAUCGCCUUCGCGCAUGUUCCGGUUGCCGGCGAAGAGGCCGCCGUCUUCUUCGCCUCGAAGACGUCGCGCUUCGUCGGCGCGGAUGCCCGCAAGAAGACCGUUGCCGCCGCCCCGGUCCGCUUCAGCGUCGAGCCUCACCUUCUCAUCGGCAACCAGAACGGCGACAUCUUCUUAUUCAGUCUCCUGCAAGAGCGGAUUGUGCAGCACCUGAACUACAGCGCCGGCCGACCGAGCGCGAGCGCCUCCAUCGCCAGCGGCAGCAAGGGGGCGGGCAGCAAGCUGGUCUGCUCCCCCGUCUCGUGCAUCGCAGAGGUGCAGAACGGCAUCGAGAAGAAGGUCACGCGCAUGGUCGAGUCCGCCGCCAUGGCGAAGCGCAACCGCCGACGGUCCUUCGGCAGCGACGGCAUCCCGACCGGCUUCAACGCCGUCGCCCAUGCCGCGGCACCGUCGCACUACUACUACGACGUUCCCCCGUCCCUCUACGCGGUCGGCUUCGACGAUGGCCAGAUGCUGAUCGUGGGCGUCACGUGCGAAGGCGGGUGGAUGCUGCGGCAUCUCAACAACCACCACUUCGGAAUGCGGCCGAUCCACUCCAUCGCAGUGCGGGUGCCGUCCUUCUACGCACGGCUGUGGACCAGCUACCUGCCCCCCAUCACCUUCGCGGACCGCGGCAGCAAGUCCGAGGUAGCAGCACUGCCGCCCAUCACGACCCUCAUCACGGUCGAGUCGGCGCUCAUUGUGCACGAGGAGGAGCAGCUCGUGGCCGCCAUAUCGUGUAAUGGCGGUUCCAUUGCGCUGGUGCGGCUGCCCGGGAUGGAGAUCAUCUCCUCUGUUGCCCCGACCGCCUACAACGCCGUCGGCGAGAUUCUGGCGCUGCAGUGGACCGCCACGUCGCCGCGCUACCUGCUGACGCCAGACAUCCUCGUCGCCUCCGGCGAGGACGACACGAUGACGGCCUUUCAGCUGCUCACGCAGCUCCUCGUGAACACAAGCGAUUGGAGCCACCACAAUGGCAACGACAACGUGUCGCGCAUGUCGUCCACGGAGUCCGUGCCGGCAAACGCCCGGCUGCGCAUCCUCGAGAAGAAGCAGUUCCACCGCAGCUGGGUCAGCCGGUUGAACUUGAUGCCGGUGGUCGUGCCCGCCGCGACGGCCAACGCAAAGGACGCUGGCCGGUCGAACAGCGGCGGCAUGCCGCAGUACCUCGGCGUGUGCCUCGUUGCCUCCUCCUAUGACCACCGCACCUCUUUCUGGCCGUACAUGUUCAGUGGGCAGCAGCGGAGGGCCGGUGAGGCGGAAGGCCCGGACAGCGCCAACGCUGCGGCAUCAGCGUGGAGCGUUGGUGAGGGUGCCGGCAGUGUGGAGCAUGCGGACUCGCUGAUGUUGGGCCUCACCAGCAACAGCGUCCCCUUCGGCACGAUUUCGGUGCCGGAUCGGUAUGUGCUCGUCGACGGCCCGACGACAGCGUACCCGCUGCACCCGGAACUCGUCAUCGACGCUGCGGCCGCCGGCGCCGGCACAAGCUUCUUCCUGACGACAGUGUGCUGCCGUGGCAAGCUAAAGUUCUGGUCCGUCCAGGUGAAGGUCUAGUCGCCCGUGUUUUCUGUGUGGACCAUUGGGAGCACUUGAUCGUCACGGGCACUUGAACGUGGUGUCUGGCCGCGGGGUGCGCACGGCUCUUGUCGUGGAUGCCGUCCGUCACAGCGUAGGACUGCAUCCCCUCCCCUCGCUCGUGCCGCUUCUUGUGUGCUUACGUGUGCACGGGUGGCGGUGGUGAAGUGUGUCUGCAUCUCCGAGCCAGUGUGUUGGAGGGGCGGCGGCGGACGAGGACGAGGACGAGGAGAGGGAGGGAGGGAGGGAGGAAGGGGGAGAGAUGCGUAGAGCUCGGUGGGCGACGGUGAUCCCUCGCGUCGUCGUCGUCGCCGUCGCUAUCAUUCUUUUCCACGCGGUAGCGUCAGCUCCCACCUCCUGCGCUCCCUAUAGAUAACGCCCCGCUGAUCGCGCGCCCUUUGGGCUCCACCACACCCCCUCUCCCUAUUCCAACCCCAUCCGCCGCUUGCGGCAGAUGGGGUGUGUCGGCCGUCUCUUGUCGUGUGCAGCAUCGUACACG
This 3652-nucleotide unclassified non-coding RNA is filed under the name Leishmania donovani. RNAcentral describes it as "gene:LdHU3.01.0680(CDS-product:hypothetical_prote in_conserved)". The record is from RNAcentral. Lineage: Eukaryota; Euglenozoa; Kinetoplastea; Trypanosomatida; Trypanosomatidae.